GAUGAAGAACGUAGCGAAAUGCGAUAAGUAAUGUGAAUUGCAGAAUUCAGUGAAUCAUCGAAUCUUUGAACGCAUCUUGCGCUCCUUGGUAUUCUGAGGUGCAUGCCUGUUUGAGUGUCAUUAAAUUCUCAACUACACUGACUUUGAAUUGGUGUGGCUUGGAUUUGGGGGGAAAAUUGUUGUGGGCUUUUUGUAUAGUCUGCUCCCCUGAAAUUGAUUAGCGGUACCUUUGUGGAACUGUCUACAGGUGUGAUAAUUAUCUACAUCUUAGACAUCUGCUGGAAUGCUGCUUUCUAAACCUUACUUGUUUUGACAAUCUUGACCUCAAAUCAGGUAGGACUACCCGCUGAACUUAAGCAUAUCAAUAAGCGGAGGA
RNAcentral lists this unclassified non-coding RNA (376 nucleotides) under soil metagenome. Its description in RNAcentral is "partial contains 5.8S ribosomal RNA, internal transcribed spacer 2, and large subunit ribosomal RNA". The stretch from base 1 to 120 matches the Rfam family "5.8S ribosomal RNA", at positions 35 to 154 of the family's 154-position model. The record is from RNAcentral.